This 497-nucleotide ribosomal RNA is filed under the name uncultured bacterium. RNAcentral's name for it is "partial 16S ribosomal RNA". It matches the Rfam family "Bacterial small subunit ribosomal RNA", at positions 28 to 507 of the family's 1533-position model. The record is from RNAcentral.
GAUGAACGCUGGCGGCGUGCCUAAUACAUGCAAGUCGAGCGAGCAGACGAGGAGCUUGCUCCUCUGACGUUAGCGGCGGACGGGUGAGUAACACGUGGAUAACCUACCUAUAAGACUGGGAUAACUUCGGGAAACCGGAGCUAAUACCGGAUAAUAUAUUGAACCGCAUGGUUCAAUAGUGAAAGACGGUUUUGCUGUCACUUAUAGAUGGAUCCGCGCCGCAUUAGCUAGUUGGUAAGGUAACGGCUUACCAAGGCAACGAUGCGUAGCCGACCUGAGAGGGUGAUCGGCCACACUGGAACUGAGGCACGGUCCAGCCUCCUACGGGGAGCAGCAGUAGGGAAUCUUCCGCAAUGGGCGAAGGCCUGACGGAGCGACGCCGCGUGAGUGAUGAAGGUCUUCGGAUCGUAAAACUCUGUUAUUAGGUAAGAACAAAUGUGUAAGUAACUAUGCACGUCUUGACGGUACCUGAUCAGAAAGCCACGGCUAACUACGUG